UUAUGACGUACUUGUACUGAUUGAGAUUUUAACACGAAGUGAGUGGCGAACGGGUGAGUAACACGUGGGUAACCUGCCCAGAAGUAGGGGAUAACACCUGGAAACAGAUGCUAAUACCGUAUAACAGAGAAAACCGCAUGGUUUUCUUUUAAAAGAUGGCUCUGCUAUCACUUCUGGAUGGACCCGCGGCGUAUUAGCUAGUUGGUGAGGUAAAGGCUCACCAAGGCAGUGAUACGUAGCCGACCUGAGAGGGUAAUCGGCCACAUUGGGACUGAGACACGGCCCAGACUCCUACGGGAGGCAGCAGUAGGGAAUCUUCCACAAUGGACGCAAGUCUGAUGGAGCAACGCCGCGUGAGUGAAGAAGGGUUUCGGCUCGUAAAGCUCUGUUGUUAAAGAAGAACGUGGGUAAGAGUAACUGUUUACCCAGUGACGGUAUUUAACCAGAAAGCCACGGCUAACUACGUGCCAGCAGCCGCGGUAAUACGUAGGUGGCAAGCGUUAUCCGGAUUUAUUGGGCGUAAAGCGAGCGCAG
RNAcentral lists this ribosomal RNA (534 nucleotides) under Pediococcus pentosaceus. RNAcentral describes it as "bacterial SSU rRNA". It matches the Rfam family "Bacterial small subunit ribosomal RNA", at positions 64 to 574 of the family's 1533-position model. Lineage: Bacteria; Bacillati; Bacillota; Bacilli; Lactobacillales; Lactobacillaceae. The record is from RNAcentral.